UUUAUUAGAUAAAGAACCAAUAUAAUUGGUGACUCAUAAUAACUUUACGGAUCACAUAAAUUGUGACAUAUCAUUCAAGUUUCUGACCUAUCAGCUUUAGACGGUAGGGUAUUGGCCUACCGUGGCAAUGACGGGUAACGGGGAAUUAGGGUUCGAUUCCGGAGAGGGAGCCUGAGAAACGGCUACCACAUCUAAGGAAGGCAGCAGGCGCGCAAAUUACCAAUCCUAAUACAGGGAGGUAGUGACAAGAAAUAACAAUACAGGACUUUUUGGUUUUGUAAUUGGAAUGAGUUGAGUAUAAACCCCUUUACAAGUAUCAAUUGGAGGGCAAGUCUGGUGCCAGCAGCCGCGGUAAUUCCAGCUCCAAUAGCGUAUAUUAAAGUUGUUGCAGUUAAAAAGCUCGUAGUUGGAUUUCUGUUAAUAAUUUAUAUAUAAUAUUUUGAAAAUAUUUAUAUAAUAUUAACAUAAUUCAUAUUACUAUAUAUUUUUAGUAUAUGAAAUUUUACUUUGAGAAAAUUAGAGUGCUUAAAGCAGGCAUAUGCCUUGAAUACUCCAGCAUGGAAUAAUAUUAAAGAUUUUUAUCUUUCUUAUUGGUUCUAAGAUAAGAAUAAUGAUUAAUAGGGACAGUUGGGGGCAUUUGUAUUUAACAGUCAGAGGUGAAAUUCUUAGAUUUGUUAAAGACAAACUAGUGCGAAAGCAUUUGCCAAGGAUGUUUUCAUUAAUCAAGAACGAAAGUUAGGGGAUCGAAGACGAUCAGAUACCGUCGUAGUCUUAACCAUAAACUAUGCCAACUAGAGAUUGGAGGUUGUUCCUUACUCCUUC
RNAcentral lists this ribosomal RNA (822 nucleotides) under Cryptosporidium wrairi. Its description in RNAcentral is "SSU rRNA". It matches the Rfam family "Eukaryotic small subunit ribosomal RNA", at positions 206 to 1081 of the family's 1831-position model. Lineage: Eukaryota; Apicomplexa; Conoidasida; Eucoccidiorida; Cryptosporidiidae. The record is from RNAcentral.